UUCUUUGGAUUUUGGAGUAUCGCUUCCUGCCCCCGCCUUCCCUCCCCGCCCCAUUCUCUGUCCUAUUGAACACCUCGCCCAGCCUAGAGCUCACAUUCUCCCCCUGCUCCCGAUGGCGCUCCUGGAAGCUCUGCAACUAUGCUCCACUUCAAAUGGUUGUUCUGAUGUUCCUUUCAGCUGGUCCUAUAGCCCCCUUUCUCAGUAAUGUCUCCCCAGUGAAAGGAAAAAGACUGCAGAGGCUUCAGACUGACGGACGCUCAUGCCAACUGUGAAGUUGAAACAAAGCCAGUGACCAGCUGAAGAGGCCCCUCCUGCCCAGCAGCCACCCACAUGGUGCAGUUGCAGCCAGUAGUAAUCUUUGCAAGAAGCAGAGAAGCCCAGAACACUCAUGAGUCAAAACCAUGCCCUUCCUUGUGUGUAUCCCUGUCUCGUUCAGAUUGAUGCUCCUUCCAUUUGGAUCCUGGUAUGAAUAUGCUUGUUACUGUACGAGUGUAAAAAGCUUUGCCCAAAUGUGUUAAUGUAUGAAGAGACUGGAUUUUUUUUGGGGGGGGGAGAGAGUUAUUUUUAUCAAAACACAGUGUUCGUUCUUGAGAGUGAUCUAGAAAAUAAAAAGCAGUUGGAAAAGACAGCAAAGCAGUCACAGGCGAUCCACAGAGAUGCUCACACCACCACACAGAAACACCACACCAUGCUCCCAGACUCUGAGCAGGGAGCUUGACUCUGUGACAUACUAUGGCUGCUGCCAGGGGUCAACGUCAAGCCAGACAAAGGUGCAGAAGCUUCCUGAAGUGUAGUGAUAAACUGAGUCAGGAGACAAUAAGAACAGCAACGACACAAAAGACAACGUCCUUGGAGGGAGCCAAGUGGGUUUGCUUAAGGAAGGAUGCUCCCUUAAAGAGAGAAUGGGAAAUCAACCUUUAAAGGAUGUAAAAACAAAACUAGAUAAAUGGGAAGAUAGGAGAAAAUAGAGUCCUUAAUGCAAGCAUAAGGGUAAGCAGCAGACGGGCAGAGGAGAUCCACAUGGUGAGUCUUGGAGACUACACAUAUCUCGUCUUGAUUUUGCCUGACACUUGGAACCGCUGUCUGUGUGUCUAGUAGAGAUGCUGCACACAGGUAUCUCCCCUCCCCCACCCCGAAUGUCACCUAAACCAAACUAGAACUAAAGUUCCAGUUCUGUGUCACUACAAAGAUUGGUUGGUGAUUCCUGAAUAGAAGUCAUGAUUCUUCUGUUCGUGAUUGCUUGUUACCAAGUUUAUUCCAUACAGAAAAUGUUUUGCAUAUUAAAUCUCAUGGUUGCUAUGAAAACGACACAUUAUCCACCUUUCACAGGUGAAGGAACUGAUUUUGGUGAGGUUGAGCGCCUGGCCAAGGUGCUACGUGCAGCUAUGCACAUUCAAGGUUGUGGUCAUGAAACUCAGUCCCUAGUCUGACUUUUGUGAUGAGUCCCAACACAGUUGUCACCUUUACCAUAGCCCUUAAUGCCUGUCUACAGAAAGACAUGGCUUUUCUGCUGACUUACAGCCACAGUAUUUCCUACUUCCAUGCUGAAUUAUACCAGAAUGAUAAAACGUAUUUUCAUGGAAGAAAAUUGAGAAUUUAGUGAAAUACACUGCUUGCCAGCAGUUUGUAUGUUUCUUCUUCAUUUUGGUCUGAGACUUUUGAUUUAGUUCUGCAUGAAAUCUCAAAGUUUUAAGAGCAGUAAGGGAAGGGCCUUAAGUUACCUGUUAUAGUACUUUGUGACAGAAGAUGUAAAUCUACAACCUGUAAUCAGAGUGACUUUACAAACAAACAACAAAAAGACACCCCUCCCCACAAAAACUCAAAUCAAACCAACCAACCAAACAACAAAAUAAACAAAACCGCCCACUUAAUUGGAAAUGUCCCAACAAAGACCAGAAACUAAGUCCUCUUUCAAUGGCUUUUAAAUUAUUCCACCCUGUCCUAAAGAAACAUGAACUUGUAUUUGACUAAAGGCACCAAUGUUGCAUAGAUUGGAUCUCAUAAAAUCUAGUUUCUUCCUUCCUUGGUACUCAUGUCAAUGUUAAAUACAGCUAUGAACUAGUGUAUCUAUGUCAAGAAGUUGUCAAUGAUCUGUCCCCAAAGAACACAGAAUAGCCAAUGUUGUAUAUAUACUCCUUCUUUAAUCCAGCCAUGGAGUCAUUAGUUCACCUGCACCAAUCCAAUCCAUUGUGCAUCUUCUCAACCAACCUGACCUAUGGCAAUCAUUUGCAAGUGCUAUAAAUGUUUAUCUAUGACUGUUCCAGAAAUAGUUAGGUAUUAACAAAUACCACUAGUCAUUUUGUGGUGUAAUCUUCAUUUAUCUGUAUCACUAAUUCAAGAAGACUUUGGCCAUAAAAACCUAGAACUAAAAAUCGCAUUCUUGGCUUUCAGCCACUCUACAUUUGAUUGACAUUUCACAGUGAUUAAUAAAUUGUCCAUCUAAAUAACAUAGAUGUCCAGAUUGUGAUUUUUGUCUUGAAUGAGACCGUUAAACUGGGUAGGCUAAGGGACAGAUGUCUAACUUUUUGAGGUACCUGGAUAUUUAACUGAUGUAAUUUUCUACUUAGCUGUUUGACAUUGUUGUAUGUAGUCCUGGUCAUGGCUUUGACUGUUCUCUUUUUUCAAAAUGCUUGUUGGCUCUGUCUUACACUGUUCUCACUGAUCUCAUAAAUAAACAGGUUUGUUGUUAAAGAGUA
RNAcentral lists this long non-coding RNA (2696 nucleotides) under Mus musculus (house mouse). RNAcentral's name for it is "Mir100 Mirlet7a-2 Mir125b-1 cluster host gene". The record is from RNAcentral. Lineage: Eukaryota; Metazoa; Chordata; Mammalia; Rodentia; Muridae.